This is a long non-coding RNA of Lepisosteus oculatus (spotted gar), 1602 nucleotides long. RefSeq lists it as uncharacterized. The record is from RefSeq and is a predicted model, not a curated record. Lineage: Eukaryota; Metazoa; Chordata; Actinopteri; Semionotiformes; Lepisosteidae.
CUCCGUCAGGAUAAACAACAGUAGGGCCGGCGCGUUUGUCACCAAGGCAAGCUUUAUAGAGGAUGCUGAGACUCCUUGAAGCGGGGGUCUAUUUGAAUUUUACAGCCUUGUGAAAAAAAGGAAAUGCUGUGUGGUGCCACAAGUAUAUCCAGAAGAAUCCAAUAUCAUCACGUGGUGGAGGUUCAUCACAUAAAGGCCAAAGCCGCUUUCCACACAUUGUUGCCCUGUGGCUGAACAGAUGGAGAGAAAAACAUAGCCUACCCAGGCAGAGGAAGGAGGUCUCUGUGGCAGCUCCCCACGUGAACCACUCAAACUGUAGGAGGGAAUAUCACUCAUGAUCUGCCCAGUCUUCAUCAGCGCGCUCAGUAUUAGAGGAUAUUGCUGCAAUCAGCCUGUCAGCCACAUCCCCUUGGUAAACUGCUGAGGAAAACUAACCUUAACAACUUAUUUAUAGACCAGUUUGUUGGUGAGAUGACUGCAACCACUUUCCCUUGGUCUAUUCACCUGUUUUCCUCAGAAACGAAAGCUUACAUUAACGGCAACUGCCUUCCUGAGACAAUUCUGGACUUUGUUUUGUGUUUUCUUUAACUUUCGCAACUCAGAAAUACUUUCAGCUGUAGCAUGCAACAGUUCUGGAUGUGAGCAGUUCUUGUAACAUUACCUUAGAUCCUUAAAAAGGUGCCACAACCGAAAUGAUUCCUCUUGUAAUAAAGUAGCAUUGGAUAAUCAAAGGUGCUGACAUAUCUCUAAAUCUCGGUGACCAAUUAAUUCUGACAAUACCUCCUUAAAAGAAACAACAUUUGCGAGAGAGGAACCUCUGCCAAAGUCUAAACCAUCACUUCCAGCUUUUACAGAUGCUAUGAUAGAGCUGUUUACAUUUAUUUUCCAACAGGAAGCUUUUGAAUGUAAGGGGUGCAACAGCACUUACAAUAAAUACUGUGGGAGAGUGACUCAACCUCAACAAAAAUCCAAUUCUAUUACUCUAUUCUGAGAGUUUGUCAGACUAGGAAAAUCUAGAUAUGGAUUCCCAAUAUGUCUUCUUGUCUAGGGAUGUAGUAUAUACAGAACUAGAAACAUGAAAGCAAACUCUCCAUUUUGUAAUGCUACUGCCAUGAUAUAUGGAACAUAACCUUAAUAUAAUCAGGACUACAUACUGUAGGUGACCUCCCAGUUAAACGCAUACACAUACAAAAAAACACUGUAUUUCAAAAUCCAGCAACAGGGGUGCCCUUACAUGUUCAUAAUCCUUUACAAUCACCACAUGUUCUUUCCAUUUUCAGAUUCCUUCCCACAUCAGUAAAAUCUGUAAUUUUGCAAUCCAAGGCCUUUGGAAUCAGCAAAGAGAUCAAAUCUGUUCAUUCAUUGUGCAGUUCCAUUAUGAUCAGAGUGAGGCAUUCAGAAAAAUAAGAUGAAGAACAAUCCUUUACAAUGCUGUAUUCACCAGAAGUCUCAUUAGGGUGUUUCCUUAAAAGAUUAUGACACCAUUUGUCAUCCUUUCCUUAAGGUUUGCUAAAUCUCACUGUCUGCUGCACAGUAACCACAAAACAUUGCCUGGGUGUAUAUAUUUGCUGACGGUAUUCUUUACAUACAGAUUAACCUAAG